GACGAACGCUGGCGGCGUGCCUAAUACAUGCAAGUAGAACGCUGAAGGAAGGAGCUUGCUCUUUCCGGAUGAGUUGCGAACGGGUGAGUAACGCGUAGGUAACCUGCCUGGUAGCGGGGGAUAACUAUUGGAAACGAUAGCUAAUACCGCAUAACAGUAGAUAUCGCAUGAUAUGUGCUUGAAAGAUGCAAUUGCAUCACUACCAGAUGGACCUGCGUUGUAUUAGCUAGUUGGUGAGGUAACGGCUCACCAAGGCAACGAUACAUAGCCGACCUGAGAGGGUGAUCGGCCACACUGGGACUGAGACACGGCCCAGACUCCUACGGGAGGCAGCAGUAGGGAAUCUUCGGCAAUGGACGGAAGUCUGACCGAGCAACGCCGCGUGAGUGAAGAAGGUUUUCGGAUCGUAAAGCUCUGUUGUAAGAGAAGAACGAGUGUGAGAAGUGGAAAGUUUCACACUGUGACUGG
RNAcentral lists this ribosomal RNA (468 nucleotides) under Streptococcus infantis. Its description in RNAcentral is "bacterial SSU rRNA". It matches the Rfam family "Bacterial small subunit ribosomal RNA", at positions 28 to 476 of the family's 1533-position model. The record is from RNAcentral. Lineage: Bacteria; Bacillati; Bacillota; Bacilli; Lactobacillales; Streptococcaceae.